Molecule: unclassified non-coding RNA, 375 nt
Filed under: soil metagenome
Description: partial contains 5.8S ribosomal RNA, internal transcribed spacer 2, and large subunit ribosomal RNA
Rfam family: 5.8S ribosomal RNA (bases 1-120)
Source: RNAcentral
GAUGAAGAACGUAGUGAAAUGCGAUAAGUAAUGUGAAUUGCAGAAUUCAGUGAAUCAUCGAAUCUUUGAACGCACAUUGCGCCCGCCAGUAUUCUGGCGGGCAUGCCUGUUCGAGCGUCAUUUCAACCCUCAAGACCCCUUCGGGGGACUUGGUGUUGGGGACCGGCACAGGGGCCUGCCUGCUUGUCUUGCAGCGCCCUCGCCGCCCCCGAAAUGAAUUGGCGGCCUCGUCGCGGCCUCCCCUGCGUAGUAGCACAAACCUCGCAACGGGAACGUGACGGCGGCCACUGCCGUAAAACAACCCAAUUUUAUUAGAGUUGACCUCGAAUCAGGUAGGAAUACCCGCUGAACUUAAGCAUAUCAAUAAGCGGAGGA